UUUCUUUGAGAAUUACAGACCACAGCCCUAAGGAGUAAAGAGCCAAACUCUCCCGGAAGACAGGGUGUGCUACAUGUGAAAACAGCUGCUUCAGACGCCAGCACAUCUGUCCGGGUGAAGCCACAUCCGACUCACUGCCUGAGCACCUGCUUCUCCUGCAAGUAGCGCCCCCGUCCCUUUCCCCCACGCUUUCCCUUUAAAACUCUCCAGCUUUGCCUGGGUGGGGAAGAUGGUCUCUGAAACAUCAGUCCAACCAGGGCUUCCCAGGUUGCCAGCUUCCUGAAGCAAGCCAACUUUCCUUUCCCACCAUCACUCGGCUCUCAAAUAUUGAUUUUCAAGCGACCAGAGCAAGACCACAAUAGCUAACUGCCUUUGAAGAUAAAAAAACCACGUGGUGGAACUAUUCUCUGAAGCUUCUCUGUUGGUGCCUAAGAGACCACAGGAAUCCCAGGACUCACAUAUGAGGUGCAAAUGGAAGGGGAUGGGCAAGUCACUGAAUAAAUGGUAAUGAGUACCAAGACUAUAAAGGAAACUUACAUAAAGUCUCCACAAUCCUCCAUCCAGGCUGGCGCUGAGUCAUCAGGAUCACUAUCCUGGGCCCAGAGGACAAGACAGAAAACAAUUCCAUGUGUAUUAUCGAAGGCACAUUGCAUCAGGAGGAGAUAAACA
This is a long non-coding RNA of Ailuropoda melanoleuca (giant panda), 669 nucleotides long. RefSeq lists it as uncharacterized. The record is from RefSeq and is a predicted model, not a curated record. NCBI's taxonomy places the organism in Eukaryota, Metazoa, Chordata, Mammalia, Carnivora, Ursidae. The transcript is spliced from 6 exons.